RNAcentral lists this ribosomal RNA (465 nucleotides) under Vreelandella stevensii. RNAcentral describes it as "partial 16S ribosomal RNA". It matches the Rfam family "Bacterial small subunit ribosomal RNA", at positions 338 to 795 of the family's 1533-position model. The record is from RNAcentral. Lineage: Bacteria; Pseudomonadati; Pseudomonadota; Gammaproteobacteria; Oceanospirillales; Halomonadaceae.
CCUACGGGUGGCAGCAGUGGGGAAUAUUGGACAAUGGGCGAAAGCCUGAUCCAGCCAUGCCGCGUGUGUGAAGAAGGCCUUCGGGUUGUAAAGCACUUUCAGUGGGGAAGAAAGCCUUGGGGCUAAUACCCUCGAGGAAGGACAUCACCCACAGAAGAAGCACCGGCUAACUCCGUGCCAGCAGCCGCGGUAAUACGGAGGGUGCGAGCGUUAAUCGGAAUUACUGGGCGUAAAGCGCGCGUAGGCGGUCUGAUAAGCCGGUUGUGAAAGCCCCGGGCUCAACCUGGGAACGGCAUCCGGAACUGUCAGGCUAGAGUGCAGGAGAGGAAGGUAGAAUUCCCGGUGUAGCGGUGAAAUGCGCAGAGAUCGGGAGGAAUACCAGUGGCGAAGGCGGCCUUCUGGACUGACACUGACGCUGAGGUGCGAAAGCGUGGGUAGCAAACAGGAUUAGAUACCCCAGUAGUC